GCAUCUUUCAGCUCAGUUGGUUAAGAGCGUGGUGCUGAUAAUGCCAAGGUUGCAGGUUUGAUCCCCGUAUGGGACA
RNAcentral lists this transfer RNA (76 nucleotides) under Podarcis lilfordi (Lilford's wall lizard). It matches the Rfam family "tRNA". Rfam says of the family: Transfer RNA (tRNA) molecules are approximately 80 nucleotides in length. Their secondary structure includes four short double-helical elements and three loops (D, anti-codon, and T loops). Lineage: Eukaryota; Metazoa; Chordata; Lepidosauria; Squamata; Lacertidae. The record is from Rfam by way of RNAcentral.